RNAcentral lists this ribosomal RNA (437 nucleotides) under uncultured bacterium. RNAcentral's name for it is "bacterial SSU rRNA". It matches the Rfam family "Bacterial small subunit ribosomal RNA", at positions 366 to 793 of the family's 1533-position model. The record is from RNAcentral.
GCACAAGUGGGGGAAACCCUGAUGCAGCCAUGCCGCGUGUGUGAAGAAGGCCUUCGGGUUGUAAAGCACUUUCAGUAGGGAGGAAGGUAGUGUAGUUAAUACCUGCAUUAUUUGACGUUACCUACAGAAGAAGCACCGGCUAACUCCGUGCCAGCAGCCGCGGUAAUACGGAGGGUGCGAGCGUUAAUCGGAAUUACUGGGCGUAAAGCGCAUGCAGGCGGCCUGUUAAGUCAGAUGUGAAAGCCCGGGGCUUAACCUCGGAAUUGCAUUUGAAACUGGCAGGCUAGAGUCUUGUAGAGGGGGGUAGGAAUUUCAGGUGUAGCGGUGAAAUGCGUAGAGAUCUGAAGGAAUACCAGUGGCGAAGGCGGCCCCCUGGACAAAGACUGACGCUCAGAUGCGAAAGCGUGGGGAGCAAACAGGAUUAGAUACCCUGGUAG